RNAcentral lists this ribosomal RNA (427 nucleotides) under uncultured bacterium. RNAcentral's name for it is "bacterial SSU rRNA". It matches the Rfam family "Bacterial small subunit ribosomal RNA", at positions 355 to 774 of the family's 1533-position model. The record is from RNAcentral.
UGGGGAAUUUUGGACAAUGGGCGCAAGCCUGAUCCAGCCAUGCCGCGUGAGUGAAGAAGGCCUUCGGGUUGUAAAGCUCUUUCGGACGGGAAGAAAUGGCGGGCUCUAACAUAGCCUGUCGAUGACGGUACCGUAAGAAGAAGCACAGGCUAACUACGUGCCAGCAGCCGCGGUAAUACGUAGGGGGCAAGCGUUGUCCGGAUUUACUGGGUGUAAAGGGUGCUCAGGCGGAGUUGUAAGUCAGAGGUGAAAUCUUACAGCUUAACUGUGAAACUGCCUUUGAUACUGCAAGCCUAGAGUAUGGAAGAGAGUGAUGGAAUAUCUGGUGUAGCAGUGAAAUGCGUAGAUAUCAGAUGGAACACCAAUGGCGAAGGCAGUCACUUGGUCCAUUACUGACGCUAAAGCACGAAAGCGUGGGUAGCAAACA